UUGGAGAGAGAGUAGACAAUG
RNAcentral lists this microRNA (21 nucleotides) under Fragaria vesca subsp. vesca. Its description in RNAcentral is "fve-miR11286". The record is from miRBase by way of RNAcentral. Lineage: Eukaryota; Viridiplantae; Streptophyta; Magnoliopsida; Rosales; Rosaceae.